UGACAUAUAAAGGAUGAGAAAAUUUUGCAGUUAAAAAUAAGAAGAAAAAAAUCGACGAAAAAUCCCGUCGAGUGUGAGGAGAGGAGCCAGCACUGGGCAAGCAUGGCUACCUUCCUAUCUCGUACCGGUCGAAUGAGAGACGAGAACAGAUAGCACGAACGCCGCGGCGCCGAGAUGGGAGCCUCGUCCUUGCCAAUGCUAGACGCCUCCCGCUUCCUCUCCCCACCGCUGCCGGCGCCGACGUGUCCCCGGCGGACCCUCCCCUGCGUCCGUGCGGCCUCCCAGACACUGGAAGCACCGGAGGCGUCCAAGCCCCCGAGGCCGUCCCCCAGGCGCAGCGCCGUCGCCGAGGUUAAGACCUCCUCCGACCCCGUCGCCGCCCUCACCAGGUUUGAGGAUGUGCUGCAGACACAGGACUGCAACAUAAUCUUGCGCCACUGUGGAGACAACAGGCGCUGGGAUGAGCUCUCUAAGGUUUUCGAGUGGAUGCAGGAGCGUGAGAUGACCAACGCCGCGUCGUACAGCGGUUACUUCAAGUACCUCGGAUUGAGCCGUAACCCCGCGAGGGCACUGCAAGUGUACGGUGCCAUCCAAGAUCGCUCGACGAGGGUCCAUGUCUCCGUCUGUAAUUCGGUUCUUGGAUGCUUGGUGAAGAAUGGGAGGUUUGACAGCAGUUUCAAGCUCUAUGAUGAGAUGAUACGCGAAGGUCUAUCACCUGAUCCAUUCACCUACAGUACCCUGCUAUCUGGGUGCAUGAAGUUGAAGCAGGGCUACGCUAAGGCAAUGGGAUUGAUCAAUGAUCUGAAUUCCCAGGGUCUUCAGAUGGAUAGUGUAAUAUAUGGCACUCUUCUUGCAGUAUGUGCGUCUCAUAACUACUGUGAGGAGGCUGAAGUAUACUUCCAGAAAAUGAAGGAUGAAGGCCAUAAUCCUAAUCUGUUCCAUUACAGCUCCCUGUUGAAUGCAUAUUCAGAAAAUGCUAAUUACAAAAAAGCUGAGUUGUUGAUGAAAGAUCUGAGGUCCUCUGGAUUAAAACCAAACAAGGUUAUAUUGACCACUUUGUUAAAGGUAUAUUCUAAAGGUGGUCUCUUUGAGAAAGCUAAGGAGCUGCUAACUGAGCUGGAAGCCUCAGGCUUUGCACAGGAUGAGAUGCCAUACAGCAUAUUGAUUGAUGGCCUUGUCAAAGGUGGAAAGAUACAGGAAGCGACAAUGCUAUUUAAUGAAAUGAAAGAAAAAGGUGUCAAAUCUGAUGGUUAUGCAUUUAGUAUCAUGAUUUCAGCAUUACACAGAGGUGGUCAUCGCCAAGAAUCAAAACAACUUGCAAAAGAAUUUGAGGCCGAGAAUGCAACAUAUGAUCUGGUUAUGCUUAAUACAUCACUGCGUGCUUACUGCAGCACAAAUGAUAUGGAGAGUGUAACGAGUAUGCUAAAGAAAAUGGAUGAAUUGAACAUAUCACCUGAUAAUAUUACGUUUAAUACCUUGAUUAGGUACUUCGGCAACGCAAAGGUCUAUCACCUAGCGUACAAAACGAUUGAAGAUAUGCAUACAAAGGGUCAUCAAUUAAACGAGGAGCUUUGUUCUCAUGUAAUGGUACAGCUAGGGAAAGCAGGUUUUCCUUCUGAAGCAUUCUCUGUAUAUAACAUGUUGAGAUACAGUAAGAGAACAGUGCAUAAAUCUCUUCAUGAGAAGGCUUUAGGUAUCUUAGUUCCAGCAGGACUUCUCAAGGAUGCAUAUAUAGUUGUUAAGGACAAUGCUGAGCUGAUAUCUCCUCCCUCUUUGGAGAAGUUUGCUAGGUCUUUCAUGGCAUCAGGCAACAUAAAUCUAAUUAAUGAUGUCAUGAAAGCCCUAAACCGCUCCAGGUGGCGUAUCAGCCAGGAUAUCUUUGGCAGAGCAAUUCAGAGAUACAUCCGAAAGCCUGAUAAGAAGCAGCUACUGUUAUGCCUCUUGGACUGGAUGACUGGACAAGGCUAUUCCGUAGACUCAUCAUCAAGAAACUUGCUUCUGAAGAAUGCACAAAUUUUUGGCCAAAAACAACUUAUAGCAGAAGUCCUUUCUAAGCAGCAGGCAGUGUCAAGGACCAUUGGCCAAAGACACAAAAAAUGAUGUGGUAUGAUUUAGUAUAUCUAAAUUGUUCAUAAUGAUCCAAGAACGUCCUGUGAUUAGCCACAGUGCUCAGAUGGUUCGGUCAGAUGACAAGGUAUCAGUUAUCACCCUCAUGUGUGGAUAUGCCCAGUUUGCAACCAACUUCCAUUAGAAUUUCAGAUAAUGGUUUAUGGAACUUUUCAACGACACAUGCAUCUUCCACUGAGAAGUAGAGCUACAGCUGGGUGUGAAGAUGGUAUAGGCAAUGCUUGAUUGUCCGAGAGGCAUGUCAGUAAGUUUCCGUUACAUUUCUUUACAGCUGCAGCAGAGAGAAUGUUGAUUUGAUUUCAGUUAAUUUUGCAGUUGGCAUUAAACCUUGUUGAAGCCACUGUACAUAGAUCUGGAAAGCAGAACACAUAUGUAUUUAUUUUUACAUUUGUACAUAGUUUUGUAAUUCUUGAACAUUGGAAGAACAGUUUCGUGGGCAAUGAAUGUAAUGGGGUUACCAAACAUGCCAAUGGAGUUCAAAGGAUUUUCUGUUAUACAACUACUAUUACGUUAACUCACAUUAAACAUUGUUACUCUUUGGUGUC
Molecule: RNA transcript, 2672 nt
Organism: Phragmites australis (common reed)
Lineage: Eukaryota; Viridiplantae; Streptophyta; Magnoliopsida; Poales; Poaceae
Gene name: pentatricopeptide repeat-containing protein At1g10910, chloroplastic
Exons: 11
Source: RefSeq, a predicted model, not a curated record